Molecule: ribosomal RNA, 253 nt
Filed under: uncultured bacterium
Lineage: Bacteria
Description: partial 16S ribosomal RNA
Rfam family: Bacterial small subunit ribosomal RNA
Source: RNAcentral
UACAGAGGGUGCAAGCGUUAAUCGGAAUUACUGGGCGUAAAGGGUGCGUAGGUGGUUAAUUAAGUUGUAUGUGAAAUCCCCGGGCUUAACCUGGGAAUUGCGUAUAAAACUGAUUGACUAGAGUUCGGGAGAGGGAAGUGGAAUUUCCAGUGUAGCGGUGAAAUGCGUAGAUAUUGGAAGGAACACCAGUGGCGAAGGCGACUUCCUGGCCCGAUACUGACACUGAGGCACGAAAGCGUGGGGAGCGAACAGG